This 253-nucleotide unclassified non-coding RNA is filed under the name uncultured Rhodobacterales bacterium. RNAcentral's name for it is "contains 16S-23S intergenic spacer region". It matches the Rfam family "Bacterial small subunit ribosomal RNA", at positions 524 to 776 of the family's 1533-position model. The record is from RNAcentral. Lineage: Bacteria; Pseudomonadati; Pseudomonadota; Alphaproteobacteria; Rhodobacterales.
UACGGAGGGGGUUAGUGUUGUUCGGAAUUACUGGGCGUAAAGCGCGCGUAGGCGGAUCAGAAAGUUGGGGGUGAAAUCCCGGGGCUCAACCCCGGAACUGCCUCCAAAACUCCUGGUCUUGAGUUCGAGAGAGGUGAGUGGAAUUCCGAGUGUAGAGGUGAAGUUCGUAGAUAUUCGGAGGAACACCAGUGGCGAAGGCGGCUCACUGGCUCGAUACUGACGCUGAGGUGCGAAAGCAUGGGGAGCGAACCGG